This 450-nucleotide ribosomal RNA is filed under the name uncultured bacterium. RNAcentral's name for it is "bacterial SSU rRNA". It matches the Rfam family "Bacterial small subunit ribosomal RNA", at positions 330 to 794 of the family's 1533-position model. The record is from RNAcentral.
GCCAGACUCCUACGGGAGGCAGCAGUGGGGAAUAUUGGGCAAUGGGCGCAAGCCUGACCCAGCAAUGCCGCGUGAAGGAAGGAGGCUUUCGGGUUGUAAACUUCUUUGACAGGGGAAGAGCAGAAGACGGUACCCUGAAAACAAGCCACGGCUAACUACGUGCCAGCAGCCGCGGUAAUACGUAGGUGGCAAGCGUUAUCCGGAUUUACUGGGUGUAAAGGGCGUGUAGGCGGGAAAGCAAGUCAGAUGUGAAAACCACGGGCUCAACCUGUGGCCUGCAUUUGAAACUGUUUUUCUUGAGUACUGGAGAGGCAGACGGAAUUCCUAGUGUAGCGGUGAAAUGCGUAGAUAUUAGGAGGAACACCAGUGGCGAAGGCGGUCUGCUGGACAGCAACUGACGCUGAGGCGCGAAAGCGUGGGGAGCAAACAGGAUUAGAUACCCCGGUACAA